CCCAAUCCUCUUAAAAGCGCCGACCCAUAAGGAAGCGGGAGGAGCGAAGACCUGGCGUGCGUGCGAGAUGAGUAUCUGACUUCCAAGACGCAGGCGCACAACACAAAUAAAUCUUCAGCAAUUAAUUACUAUGGAAAAUCCAAACGUUUUCUUUAGAAGUUUAGAUUCCAUAGCAUAAGCAACGGUUCAUACACAAUCACAAAUCUAUGGUUCUCUGCGCAACCUUUCCCAACCAACCCAAAAUUUUCAAUUUCUUCUCAAUCGAUUGCACUUAUAUUUAACAAUUCUUGAAUCGACAUUGCUGAACCUCCAAUCCUCCAUUUUUAAUCGACACAGGUAAAGUCGUGAAGACUUGAAGCUUCGGUGUAUCGUCAUUGACGAACCCCCAAUAGCAUCUUCCAGGUUUUUUCUUAUGCUUUUAUAUCUGUUAGCUUCAUAAAUCGAUUCUCAUUUUUGCUCUUAAAUCUUUAAUUGCUUUUGAAACCACCUGUUUUCUAAUACCACUGAUUGAGCCAUGUAUCUCACCACUGAUGUAGCAGUAGUUGACUAGUUGAUUCUAGUUUAAUCUUAGAGUAUAGUUAUUCUAGUUUAUAUUUGUAUUUUUUAUGCUUUAAUCGUUCUUUGCUUUUGAUUUUUAUUAUCUAUUAUUAGCUUCUGAUUUGUAUUAUUUAAACAGAAGAAAUGUAGAACUGAUUUGUAUUAUUUUUUCCACAUGCACUCCACUUUUUUGUUAAUAUGAAAAGGGCAAAGCUCAUAAAGCACACAUACCUUUUGCGGCUGUGUAGCACAUCAUUACACUCAUCAGGUAGAUGUUAAAGUGGAGGGUGAAGGAGUUAAUGUAAAACUGGAAAGAGAGAUGGUCUAUGGUUUGGCAAUGAAGAGUUGUGUUUACAAGAACUUACGGAUGAUAUUAUGGAAUUGGAUAGCACGGUUAAACAUCAAACGAUGCAGUCAUACAUUUGAAGAUCUUUACAUCAUUCUAUGUUGUUUUAUGUAAAUUUUUUUGUUUUAUUCGUGUUUUUCAAGUUUGAAUUAACUUUUUUUAGAACUUAUGGAUGGCUCUAUGCAAUUGGCUGUUUUGUUAA
Non-coding RNA from Lactuca sativa (garden lettuce), 1085 nucleotides. The record is from RefSeq and is a predicted model, not a curated record. NCBI's taxonomy places the organism in Eukaryota, Viridiplantae, Streptophyta, Magnoliopsida, Asterales, Asteraceae.